AUCCCGGCCCUUUUCAGGGCCACCUACAUCCCCUGAAAGAGCUGU
Molecule: non-coding RNA, 45 nt
Organism: Branchiostoma floridae (Florida lancelet)
Lineage: Eukaryota; Metazoa; Chordata; Leptocardii; Amphioxiformes; Branchiostomatidae
Source: Rfam